This 492-nucleotide ribosomal RNA is filed under the name uncultured bacterium. RNAcentral's name for it is "partial 16S ribosomal RNA". It matches the Rfam family "Bacterial small subunit ribosomal RNA", at positions 29 to 507 of the family's 1533-position model. The record is from RNAcentral.
AGUGAACGCUGGCGGUAGGCCUAACACAUGCAAGUCGAACGGCAGCACAGUAAGAGCUUGCUCUUACGGGUGGCGAGUGGCGGACGGGUGAGGAAUACAUCGGAAUCUACUUUUUCGUGGGGGAUAACGUAGGGAAACUUACGCUAAUACCGCAUACGACCUACGGGUGAAAGCAGGGGAUCUUCGGACCUUGCGCGAUUGAAUGAGCCGAUGUCGGAUUAGCUAGUUGGCGGGGUAAAGGCCCACCAAGGCGACGAUCCGUAGCUGGUCUGAGAGGAUGAUCAGCCACACUGGAACUAAGACACGGUCCAGACUCCUACGGGAGGCAGCAGUGGGGAAUAUUGGACAAUGGGCGCAAGCCUGAUCCAGCCAUACCGCGUGGGCGAAGAAGGCCUUCGGGUUGUAAAGCCCUUUUGUUGGGAAAGAAAAGCAGCAGGUUAAUACCCCGCUGUUCUGACGGUACCCAAAGAAUAAGCACCGGCUAACUUCGUG